AGUGAACGCUGGCGGUAGGCCUAACACAUGCAAGUCGAACGGCAGCACAGUAAGAGCUUGCUCUUACGGGUGGCGAGUGGCGGACGGGUGAGGAAUACAUUGGAAUCUACUUUUUCGUGGGGGAUAACGUAGGGAAACUUACGCUAAUACCGCAUACGACCUACGGGUGAAAGCAGGGGAUCUUCGGACCUUGCGCGAUUGAAUGAGCCGAUGUCGGAUUAGCUAGUUGGCGGGGUAAAGGCCCACCAAGGCGACGAUCCGUAGCUGGUCUGAGAGGAUGAUCAGCCACACUGGAACUGAGACACGGUCCAGACUCCUACAGGAGGCAGCAGUGGGGAAUAUUGGACAAUGGGCGCAAGCCUGAUCCAGCCAUACCGCGUGGGUGAAGAAGGCCUUCGGGUUGUAAAGCCCUUUUGUUGGGAAAGAAAAGCAGCAGGUUAAUACCCCGCUGUUCUGACGGUACCCAAAGAAUAAGCACCGGCUAACUUCGUG
Molecule: ribosomal RNA, 492 nt
Filed under: uncultured bacterium
Lineage: Bacteria
Description: partial 16S ribosomal RNA
Rfam family: Bacterial small subunit ribosomal RNA
Source: RNAcentral